GCCGUUCGCCUCAGCCAGCUCGGUCCUACUCUUCAGUCUCAUCUCGCUGGAAUAGUGUUGUCAUGUGUGAAGAUCUACACGAAAUUGAGACUUCUGGCACAGUGGCCUGCACUGUUCGAAGUCUGUAAGAUCAGUGCUGAAUUCAAAAUAAUCACCACAGUUCCCCUGCAAUCCAAGCAACUGUUGCUGAAUUGGCUGAUUUGUACAAGAUGCACCAUUUCUGAGGACUUCUGGCACAGUGGCCUGCACUGUUCAAAGUUCGCAAGAUCAGUGCUGAAUUGAAAAGAAUCACCAGUCCCACUGCAAUGGCCAGCACUGUUCGAAGUCCACAAGGUCAUGGAUGAAGUUGCCGUAGACGAAGGAAUUGAAGACAUCACAAUUGGAAUCUGCUCUGACAGAAGAUUGGGCAUCCCACCCUUUGGACAUUGUCAGUUUUAGUGUAUGUCUGUCACACACGUGACACCCAAUCGGAAAGGACUCUUUUUUUUCAGCAACUAAAAAACAGCAGUUAUUUUUGUUUCUUUAAGUGAAAUGUACCUUUUUUCUAGAGAUCUAUUUGCUUGUAUGCACUUCCAGCUCCUUGCUGGUUUAAGAAUAGCACUUGAGUGUGCAUAUGUUUUGUACGUACUGUGUUGAUUUUGACCCAAACUAAAGACAAACAAAAUACCAAAACUAGACUUAAAUAAGACUGGGUAAUGACACAAAUGUGGUCACCAAAGAGGACAACCAAAUGAAUGGUGGACUGCCAGAUGCACGCGCACAUGCAUACAUUAUACGUGCACAUGCAUACAGUAUACGCGCAUGAACGCACACCUACAAGUGUGGACUAAUGCACUUAGUCAAUGAGCUAAAAUAACUGUAUGUAGAGUGAAUUUUAUUUGUGCCCGAUGUGUUCACAUGAAUGCUAAUCCAGCCAGAGAGCACUUUUUCACAGCAACCAAACAAAUUAUUUUCUUAAAGGUGCACUGUGUAGGAUGGUGACCAGAGUAGGCAACUAUGCUGCACAUUGAAACGGUGCUGCCUAUUACCAACUGUGUCCUUUUCAUGAAUAUUUACUUAGUAAUAAACGAAAAUGUAUAAAUGUAUUACGAAAAUGUUUACUAAAAAUCUGUAUUUCUAGAAAUUCAAAAUGACAGUCA
Engraulis encrasicolus (European anchovy) is the source of this 1139-nucleotide long non-coding RNA. RefSeq lists it as uncharacterized. The record is from RefSeq and is a predicted model, not a curated record. NCBI's taxonomy places the organism in Eukaryota, Metazoa, Chordata, Actinopteri, Clupeiformes, Engraulidae. The transcript is spliced from 6 exons.